RNAcentral lists this non-coding RNA (30 nucleotides) under Mus musculus (house mouse). Lineage: Eukaryota; Metazoa; Chordata; Mammalia; Rodentia; Muridae. The record is from RNAcentral.
UACCCUGUGGCUUUUAUUCCUACUAUUAAG